Molecule: ribosomal RNA, 409 nt
Filed under: Clostridioides difficile
Lineage: Bacteria; Bacillati; Bacillota; Clostridia; Peptostreptococcales; Peptostreptococcaceae
Description: bacterial LSU rRNA
Rfam family: Bacterial large subunit ribosomal RNA
Source: RNAcentral
GCCGGAGGGGGUAUAUGCAAAAGUGUGCUGGGUUGGUACACAGACAGGUCGAGCAGGGGUGAGAUGCUGAUGUAUUGAGCCGUGAGAGCUAUGAGGAAGAGCCAGGGCUCAACGGAUAAAAGCUACCCUGGGGAUAACAGGCUUAUCUCCCCCAAGAGUCCACAGCGACGGGGAGGUUUGGCACCGCGAUGUCGGCUCAUCACAUCCUGGGGCUGUAGUAGGUCCCAAGGGUUGGGCUGUUCGCCCAUUAAAGUGGUACGCGAGCUGGGUUCAGAACGUCGGGAGACAGUUCGGUCCCUAUCCGUCGCAGGCGUAGGAAAUUUGAGAAGACCUGUCCUUAGUACGAGAGGACCGGGAUGGACGUACCUCUGGUGUACCAGUUGUCCUGCCAAGGGCAUGGCUGGGUAGC